This is a non-coding RNA of Rhizopogon salebrosus TDB-379, 104 nucleotides long. The record is from the annotation of a GenBank genome assembly. Lineage: Eukaryota; Fungi; Basidiomycota; Agaricomycetes; Boletales; Rhizopogonaceae.
GCCCUGAUGGCUCAGUUGGUUAGAGCGCAGGUCUCAUACUUUGUAUGACCGGUCUUUGUUACCGGGCAAUCCUGAGGUCGCAAGUUCGAACCUUGCUCAGGGCA